This 429-nucleotide ribosomal RNA is filed under the name Bacillota bacterium. Its description in RNAcentral is "Firmicutes bacterium partial 16S ribosomal RNA". It matches the Rfam family "Bacterial small subunit ribosomal RNA", at positions 355 to 776 of the family's 1533-position model. Lineage: Bacteria; Bacillati; Bacillota. The record is from RNAcentral.
UGGGGAAUUUUGGACAAUGGGGGCAACCCUGAUCCAGCAAUGCCGCGUGUGUGAAGAAGGCCUUCGGGUUGUAAAGCACUUUUGUCCGGGAAGAAAUCGCACCUGAUAAUACCGGGUGUGGAUGACGGUACCGGAAGAAUAAGGACCGGCUAACUACGUGCCAGCAGCCGCGGUAAUACGUAGGGUCCAAGCGUUAAUCGGAAUUACUGGGCGUAAAGCGUGCGCAGGCGGUUGUGCAAGACCGAUGUGAAAUCCCCGGGCUUAACCUGGGAAUUGCAUUGGUGACUGCACGGCUAGAGUGUGUCAGGGGGGGGUAGAAUUCCACGUGUAGCAGUGAAAUGCGUAGAGAUGUGGAGGAAUACCGAUGGCGAAGGCAGCCCCCUGGGAUAACACUGACGCUCAUGCACGAAAGCGUGGGGAGCAAACAGG